This 513-nucleotide ribosomal RNA is filed under the name Brevundimonas vesicularis. RNAcentral's name for it is "bacterial SSU rRNA". It matches the Rfam family "Bacterial small subunit ribosomal RNA", at positions 56 to 616 of the family's 1533-position model. The record is from RNAcentral. Lineage: Bacteria; Pseudomonadati; Pseudomonadota; Alphaproteobacteria; Caulobacterales; Caulobacteraceae.
UGCAGUCGAACGAACUCUUCGGAGUUAGUGGCGGACGGGUGAGUAACACGUGGGAACGUGCCUUUAGGUUCGGAAUAACUCAGGGAAACUUGUGCUAAUACCGAAUGUGCCCUUCGGGGGAAAGAUUUAUCGCCUUUAGAGCGGCCCGCGUCUGAUUAGCUAGUUGGUGAGGUAAAGGCUCACCAAGGCGACGAUCAGUAGCUGGUCUGAGAGGAUGAUCAGCCACAUUGGGACUGAGACACGGCCCAAACUCCUACGGGAGGCAGCAGUGGGGAAUCUUGCGCAAUGGGCGAAAGCCUGACGCAGCCAUGCCGCGUGAAUGAUGAAGGUCUUAGGAUUGUAAAAUUCUUUCACCGGGGACGAUAAUGACGGUACCCGGAGAAGAAGCCCCGGCUAACUUCGUGCCAGCAGCCGCGGUAAUACGAAGGGGGCUAGCGUUGCUCGGAAUUACUGGGCGUAAAGGGAGCGUACGCGGACAUUUAAGUCAGGGGUGAAAUCCCGGGGCUCAACCUC